GACAGUCUGACCUGCACGGUGACUAUAAUGUUAAACGGCCGCGGGACUCUAACCGUGCAAAGGUAGCAUAAUCAUUUGCCUUUUAAUUGGAGGCUGGUAUGAAUGGUUUGACGAGGGCUAUGCUGUCUCUUUUGGAAUAUUUAAAAAUUAACUUUUAGGUGAAGAGGCCUAAAUUUGUUUAAGGGACAAGAAGACCCUGUUGAGCUUUAGUAAAAUUAUAAGUGUAGCAUAACUUACGUAGAUUUCUAUGGUAGUUGUUAUGUAGUUAAUACAAUAAUAGACUUGUAAUUAAUCUUUAGUUGGGGCGACUGAGGAACAUGAAAAGCUUCCUUAUCUUAAAACAUUAAUGUGAUGUUGUGAGGCUUUAAAUGUCUAUAAAUUAUUUUGAUCCAAUUUGUUUUGAUUAAAAGAAAAAGUUACCACAGGGAUAACAGCGUAAUCUUUCUGGAGAGAUCUAAUCGAAAGAAGGGUUUGCGACCUCGAUGUUGGACUAAGAUAUCCUAAGGGUGCAGAAGCUCUUAAAGGUUGGUCUGUUCGACCAUUAAAAUCUU
Molecule: ribosomal RNA, 551 nt
Filed under: Jujubinus striatus
Lineage: Eukaryota; Metazoa; Mollusca; Gastropoda; Trochida; Trochidae
Description: partial 16S ribosomal RNA
Rfam family: Bacterial large subunit ribosomal RNA
Source: RNAcentral